This 287-nucleotide ribosomal RNA is filed under the name Pseudomonas thivervalensis. RNAcentral's name for it is "partial 16S ribosomal RNA". It matches the Rfam family "Bacterial small subunit ribosomal RNA", at positions 1086 to 1372 of the family's 1533-position model. The record is from RNAcentral. Lineage: Bacteria; Pseudomonadati; Pseudomonadota; Gammaproteobacteria; Pseudomonadales; Pseudomonadaceae.
CCCGUAACGAGCGCAACCCUUGUCCUUAGUUACCAGCACGUAAUGGUGGGCACUCUAAGGAGACUGCCGGUGACAAACCGGAGGAAGGUGGGGAUGACGUCAAGUCAUCAUGGCCCUUACGGCCUGGGCUACACACGUGCUACAAUGGUCGGUACAGAGGGUUGCCAAGCCGCGAGGUGGAGCUAAUCCCACAAAACCGAUCGUAGUCCGGAUCGCAGUCUGCAACUCGACUGCGUGAAGUCGGAAUCGCUAGUAAUCGCGAAUCAGAAUGUCGCGGUGAAUACGUU